CCUACGGGCGACAGCAGUGGGGGAUAUUGCACAAUGGGGGAAACCCUGAUGCAGCGACGCCGCGUGGGGGAAGAAGGAUUUCGGUUUGUAAAGCUCUUUCAGUAGGGAAGAAAAUGACGGUAUCUGACGAAGAAGCACCGGCUAACUACGUGCCAGCAGCCGCGGUAAUACGGAGGGGGCAAGCGUUACUCGGAUUAACUGGGCGUAAAGGGAGCGUAGGCGGGUAUGUAAGUCAGGUGUGAAAUCCCAGGGCUCAACCCCGGGACUGCAUUUGAAACUGUGUGACGAGAGUAGGGGAGGGGUAGGCGGAAUUCGUGGUGUAGCGGUGAAAUGCGUAGAUAUCAAGAGGAACACUGAUUGCGAAGGCGGCCUGCUGGACCAAAACUGACGCUGAGGCUCGAAAGCGUGGGGAGCAAACAGGAUUAGAUACCCGAGUAGUC
This 440-nucleotide ribosomal RNA is filed under the name uncultured bacterium. Its description in RNAcentral is "partial 16S ribosomal RNA". It matches the Rfam family "Bacterial small subunit ribosomal RNA", at positions 338 to 795 of the family's 1533-position model. The record is from RNAcentral.